Molecule: ribosomal RNA, 136 nt
Filed under: uncultured Luteibacter sp.
Lineage: Bacteria; Pseudomonadati; Pseudomonadota; Gammaproteobacteria; Lysobacterales; Rhodanobacteraceae
Description: partial 16S ribosomal RNA
Rfam family: Bacterial small subunit ribosomal RNA
Source: RNAcentral
UGGGGGAAACCCUGAUCCAGCCAUGCCGCGUGAGUGAUGAAGGCCCUAGGGUUGUAAAACUCUUUCGGCGGGGACGAUAAUGACGGUACCCGCAGAAGAGGCUCCGGCUAACUUCGUGCCAGCAGCCGCGGUAAUA